UCACUCUUCACUGAAGAAAAAUGUGC
RNAcentral lists this non-coding RNA (26 nucleotides) under Rattus norvegicus (Norway rat). The record is from RNAcentral. Lineage: Eukaryota; Metazoa; Chordata; Mammalia; Rodentia; Muridae.